RNAcentral lists this ribosomal RNA (801 nucleotides) under uncultured bacterium. RNAcentral's name for it is "bacterial SSU rRNA". It matches the Rfam family "Bacterial small subunit ribosomal RNA", at positions 36 to 831 of the family's 1533-position model. The record is from RNAcentral.
CUAGCGGCAGGCUUAAUACAUGCAAUGUCGAGGGGCAGCGGGCGUGCAAUACUUGCCGGCGACCGGCGCACGGGUGCGUAACACGUAUGCAACCUACCUAUAACUGGAGAAUAGCCCCGAGAAAUCGGGAUUAAUACUCCAUAACAUUGCGAAAAGGCAUCUUUUUGCAAUUAAAGUUUUAAUGGUUAUAGAUGGGCAUGCGCGGUAUUAGUUAGUUGGUGAGGUAACGGCUCACCAAGACUGCGAUACCUAGGGGUUCUGAGAGGAUUAAACCCCCACACUGGUACUGAGACACGGACCAGACUCCUACGGGAGGCAGCAGUAAGGAAUAUUGGUCAAUGGACGCAAGUCUGAACCAGCCAUGCCGCGUGAAGGAUGACGGCCCUAUGGGUUGUAAACUUCUUUUGUACGGGAAAAAACCCUCGCUCGUGAGCGGGGCUGAUGGUACCGUAAGAAUAAGGAUCGACUAACUCCGUGCCAGCAGCCGCGGUAAUACGGAGGAUCCAAGCGUUAUCCGGAUUUAUUGGGUUUAAAGGGUGCGUAGGCGGGAUGAUAAGUCAGUGGUGAAAUCCUACAGCUUAACUGUAGAACUGCCAUUGAUACUGUCAACCUUGAGUACAUUUGAAGUGGGCGGAAUGUGUGGUGUAGCGGUGAAAUGCUUAGAUAUCACACAGAACACCGAUAGCGAAGGCAGCUCACUAAACUGUAACUGACGCUGAGGCACGAAAGCGUGGGGAGCAAACAGGAUUAGAUACCCUGGUAGUCCACGCCGUAAACGAUGAUCACUCGAUGUGUGCGAUA